Molecule: ribosomal RNA, 120 nt
Filed under: Vibrio breoganii
Lineage: Bacteria; Pseudomonadati; Pseudomonadota; Gammaproteobacteria; Vibrionales; Vibrionaceae
Description: partial 16S ribosomal RNA
Rfam family: Bacterial small subunit ribosomal RNA
Source: RNAcentral
GAAGUGGGUAGUUUAACCUUCGGGAGGACGCUCACCACUUUGUGGUUCAUGACUGGGGUGAAGUCGUAACAAGGUAGCCCUAGGGGAACCUGGGGCUGGAUCACCUCCUUAUACGAUGAU